UGUGAUUCUCUACAUUUUAGAUGUCUUGUAAGUUAGAAGAGCAUGCUCUAACUUGUGCUUGUUCUACAAUGGGAUACGUGGAGGAAAGCCCAACCUGAACUGCAGAUAAGCCCCCAGCUGAAUCCAAUCAAGUUCAACCAAGCUCAGAAAAACUUCAGCUGACCUACAGAUAUUUUCACAAGGAAUAAAAAUGGUUAUGGCAAACCACUGGAAUUGGGGAUUGUUUGUUAUGCAGCAUUAUUGCAGUAAAAACUGUCCAAUACAAUAACUGUGUUACAAUUCAGAAAACAUUGUAUUAAAAUAACAAAGUAUGGAAGUCCAAAAUAUACCAAGUUCCUCCGAGUUUAAAACACUUCCAUGAGACACAUUACCACAUAGUGAAAGAAGCAUGACUUGGCUUCCAGUGUCUGACAGACUUGAUUUGUUAGAAGGGAAUCUGAAAUUACUAAAUAUCUGGACCUCAGGAUUCACAACCAACAAACAAGGUAUUUGUCUGGAUUAGAAAUUAU
RNAcentral lists this long non-coding RNA (509 nucleotides) under Homo sapiens (human). RNAcentral's name for it is "non-protein coding lnc-ATP2B1-3:1". The record is from RNAcentral. Lineage: Eukaryota; Metazoa; Chordata; Mammalia; Primates; Hominidae.